RNAcentral lists this ribosomal RNA (502 nucleotides) under uncultured bacterium. RNAcentral's name for it is "bacterial SSU rRNA". It matches the Rfam family "Bacterial small subunit ribosomal RNA", at positions 29 to 507 of the family's 1533-position model. The record is from RNAcentral.
AACGAACGCUGGCGGCGUGCCUAACACAUGCAAGUCGAACGAGAAAGGCCCCUUCGGGGGCCCGGUACAGUGGCGCACGGGUGAGUAACACGUGGGUAAUCUGCCCUCGAGUGGGGAAUAACCCAGGGAAACUUGGGCUAAUACCGCAUAACAUCCCGUUCCCCUCGGAGAACGGGAUCAAAGCCGGGGAUCGCAAGACCUGGCGCUCGAGGAGGAGCCCGCGGCUGAUUAGCUUGUUGGUGGGGUAACGGCCUACCAAGGCGACGAUCAGUAGCCGGCCUGAGAGGGUGAUCGGCCACACUGGAACUGAGACACGGUCCAGACUCCUACGGGAGGCAGCAGUGAGGAAUUUUGCGCAAUGGGCGAAAGCCUGACGCAGCAACGCCGCGUGGAUGAUGAAGGCCCUCGGGUCGUAAAAUCCUGUCGAGUGGGAAGAAAAACUCCCGGUGAAUAGCCGGGAGGAUUGACUGUACCACUGGAGGAAGCCCCGGCUAACUCCGUG